GAUGAAGAACGUAGCGAAAUGCGAUAAGUAAUGUGAAUUGCAGAAUUCAGUGAAUCAUCGAAUCUUUGAACGCACCUUGCGCCUUUUGGUAUUCCGAAAGGCACACCUGUUUGAGCGUCAUGAAUACCUCAAUCUCCAUCUUUUCUUCGGAUUGAUGGGUGACUUGGAUGUUGAGCCCUGCUGGUAUGCUAUAUCAGCUGGCUUUAAACUUAUUAGCCGGCUCUGUACUGGAUCGGUUUGACUCGACGUGAUAAUAUUAUCGUUGAGGAUGCAUGUCUCAUGCAGCCGGAAAGUAUCAAAGCAGCUUCUAGCUUGCCUUUAAUGCACUUUUACAUUUUAGACCUCAGAUCAGGUGGGACUACCCGCUGAACUUAAGCAUAUCAAUAAGCGGAGGA
This 395-nucleotide unclassified non-coding RNA is filed under the name soil metagenome. Its description in RNAcentral is "partial contains 5.8S ribosomal RNA, internal transcribed spacer 2, and large subunit ribosomal RNA". The stretch from base 1 to 120 matches the Rfam family "5.8S ribosomal RNA", at positions 35 to 154 of the family's 154-position model. The record is from RNAcentral.